UUCAAUGUCCUUUUGACGAUUUCAAUUUUCAAAACUUUCCUUGUAAAUCGCUUCAUUUUCUUUUUUAUUUUGAAACUUUCUCUCUUCCAUUCUUCAUCUCCUGAAGCUUUCCUAAUCUGGUUCGUACACCCCAUCAUACCUUGUUUGAUCUUCAGCAUACGCAGGGACCUCCAUUUCCAGGUAUAUUUCCUCUCUUCUUCUUAGCGUUUCUUUUGCAAGAAUAUGUGCAAGAUUGUUCGCAGAUCUUGGUGUAGGUUGAAAUCUGAUAUUAUUUAAGCCUUUUAUUUUCUGUUGGAUAUCAUAAAUAUAUGCCCCUACCAGUGAUCGAUCUUGACCCUUUGUGUUGCAUUUCUUUAUUAUUACGAGGGAAUCUCCUUCAAAGAUAAUUGACUGCCAUCCCUUUUUCGACUCCUACUUGGACUGCUUUCCAACGGGCUAUUGAUUCAGCAGCAAGAGCAGAGGAUAUGUCUUUGUGGAUUUCUGAACAAGAUAAAAGAACUUUUCCUUCCGCAUCUCUGGCCACAAUAUCUGAAGCUGACCGGUUCUGGCUCUCAUUGUAUGCACCGUCAAAGUUAAUCUUGAUGAAAUCCAACUGUGGGUACCUCCAUCUUUUGUUUUCUGUUAUUAUUACUGGGUCUCUUUUUUCAAAACCAGUUAGCUCAGUAAUGUAAUUGUUUAUAAAAUUUGUAAUUUCCUUUCCAUUUCUGACUUUUUCUUCGUGUACUCUUCUGUUUCAAUCUCAUCAUAUGGCCCAAAGUGUGCAGCAGAAAAGGUGACCUUGACAAGGGUUGAGCUGCUCAAACACCUAGAUAAGCCACUGUACAAAGUCCGUGUUUUGAUUCAUCAUAAUAUUCUGAAAUGAUAGUGUUAUCCAUACUUCUACUGUAACAGGGCAUUCUCGAAAUAAAUGGUUCAUUGUUUCAGCUCUUUCUUCACAUCGGGGACAAUUUGUGUUGACUGCUAGCUUCCUGUGCUGCAUAUUUACCUUUGUAGGCAGAUAAUUCCUUGAAAGCCUCCAUAUUGUAACCUUUAUUUUUGUUGGUAGAUUCAGGCUCCAAAGUUUUUUGUAGAAUUUUCUGUAGAUGGUUUGUAAAGCAUAAGCUCUAGGAUUUUCAUCCGAACUCUGUAAUAGUUUAUAGACACUUCGGACCGUGAAUUCACCCGACAUUUCACCUCCCCAAAUGAGAAAAUCUUCAUAAGGUGUUCGUGCCAGAGGGAUUCGAAGGAUUCUUACAGCGUCUUCUUCUGUGAAGGAAUUAUUUCCAAGUAUUCAUGGAGACAAUGCCUCAAUCUACCACACCCAAAACAGAAUGUCGGUAGCUUUUCAUACUUGAAUGGGAUCCAAAAUUUAUUCCCAUUACCUAUUGAAACAAAUAUACCCCUACGAAGGGGUUUCUGCACAUUUAAUUUAAUUCUAAGGCGACAUAACUCACCAUUGAUUUCA
Long non-coding RNA from Gossypium raimondii (Peruvian cotton), 1444 nucleotides. RefSeq lists it as uncharacterized. The transcript is spliced from 2 exons. Lineage: Eukaryota; Viridiplantae; Streptophyta; Magnoliopsida; Malvales; Malvaceae. The record is from RefSeq and is a predicted model, not a curated record.